CAGCACCUCAAGUGGUCAGGAUGAUGAUUGGGCCUAAAGCAUCCGUAGCCGGCGCUGUAAGUUUUCGGUUAAAUCUGUACGCUCAACGUACAGGCUGCCGGGAAUACUGCAGAGCUAGGGAGUGGGAGAGGUAGACGGUACUCGGUAGGAAGGGGUAAAAUCCUUUGAUCUAGUGAUGACCACCUGUGGCGAAGGCGGUCUACCAGAACACGUCCGACGGUGAGGGAUGAAAGCUGGGGGAGCAAACCGGAUUAGAGACCCGAGUAGUCC
RNAcentral lists this ribosomal RNA (270 nucleotides) under uncultured archaeon. RNAcentral's name for it is "partial 16S ribosomal RNA". It matches the Rfam family "Archaeal small subunit ribosomal RNA", at positions 477 to 747 of the family's 1478-position model. The record is from RNAcentral.